RNAcentral lists this ribosomal RNA (307 nucleotides) under Salmonella enterica subsp. enterica serovar Saintpaul. Its description in RNAcentral is "bacterial SSU rRNA". It matches the Rfam family "Bacterial small subunit ribosomal RNA", at positions 26 to 329 of the family's 1533-position model. The record is from RNAcentral. Lineage: Bacteria; Pseudomonadati; Pseudomonadota; Gammaproteobacteria; Enterobacterales; Enterobacteriaceae.
AGAUUGAACGCUGGCGGCAGGCCUAACACAUGCAAGUCGGGCGGUAACAGGGAGAAGCUUGCUUCUCUGCUGACGAGCGGCGGACGGGUGAGUAAUGUAUGGGGAUCUGCCUGAUGGCGGGGGAUAACUACUGGAAACGGUAGCUAAUACCGCAUAAUGUCUUCGGACCAAAGCGGGGGACCUCCGGGCCUCGCGCCAUCAGAUGAACCCAUAUGGGAUUAGCUAGUAGGUGAGGUAACGGCUUACCUAGGCGACGAUCCCUAGCUGGUCUGAGAGGAUGAUCAGCCACACUGGGACUGAGACACGG